This 113-nucleotide transfer RNA is filed under the name Fusarium lateritium. RNAcentral describes it as "tRNA-Leu". It matches the Rfam family "tRNA". Rfam says of the family: Transfer RNA (tRNA) molecules are approximately 80 nucleotides in length. Their secondary structure includes four short double-helical elements and three loops (D, anti-codon, and T loops). Further hydrogen bonds mediate the characteristic L-shaped molecular structure. tRNAs have two regions of fundamental functional importance: the anti-codon, which is responsible for specific mRNA codon recognition, and the 3' end, to which the tRNAs corresponding amino acid is attached (by aminoacyl-tRNA synthetases). tRNAs cope with the degeneracy of the genetic code in two manners: having more than one tRNA (with a specific anti-codon) for a particular amino acid; and 'wobble' base-pairing, i.e. permitting non-standard base-pairing at the 3rd anti-codon position. Lineage: Eukaryota; Fungi; Ascomycota; Sordariomycetes; Hypocreales; Nectriaceae. RNAcentral also lists the same sequence under 1 other name. The record is from RNAcentral.
GUCAAGAUGGCCGGUGGUCUAAGGCGCUGCACUUAAGAUAUUGUCUUAUCGCACCUAGUUAGCUAGGUCUUGCAGUGUCGAAAAAUUGUUGGGUUCGAAUCCCAAUCUUGACA